RNAcentral lists this unclassified non-coding RNA (690 nucleotides) under uncultured Prochlorococcus sp. RNAcentral describes it as "partial may contain 16S ribosomal RNA, 16S-23S ribosomal RNA intergenic spacer, and 23S ribosomal RNA". The stretch from base 1 to 98 matches the Rfam family "Bacterial small subunit ribosomal RNA", at positions 1437 to 1533 of the family's 1533-position model. The record is from RNAcentral. Lineage: Bacteria; Bacillati; Cyanobacteriota; Cyanophyceae; Synechococcales; Prochlorococcaceae.
AACCCUUGUGGAGGAGGACGCCGAAGGUGGGGCUAAUGACUGGGGUGAAGUCGUAACAAGGUAGCCGUACCGGAAGGUGCGGCUGGAUCACCUCCUAACAGGGAGACAACAAAAUGUUAAAUAUUAAUUUUGUCACCUUAGGUCGAUCGGUAUCUCACAUUCUUAAUUUAUUAAGAAUUUUAUUUCCUAAGUUUUUUCUAGGUCACACCCAUUAUUUUCCCUGGGCCAUUAGCUCAGGUGGUUAGAGCGCACCCCUGAUAAGGGUGAGGUCCCUGGUUCAAGUCCAGGAUGGCCCAUAUCUCUAUGUUGGGGGUAUAGCUCAGUUGGUAGAGCGCCUGCUUUGCAAGCAGGAUGUCAGCGGUUCGAGUCCGCUUACCUCCACUGAUUACCACCUCUUCCAUAAUUUAAAGAAGGGAAAUUUUUUGAGUUGUGAUCAAAUUCUGAACGAAUCUAGCUUCCUAAUAAUUUUAUUAAGAUGCUGGACUCAUUGAAUUAACUUUCAUUGUUUUCAGAGAACCUUGACAACUGCAUAGAUUAUUUUUAAAGACAAUAAGCAUCUUUAAUGAUGCAGAUUUAUUAUUUGUGCGAAUGCAUUAAAUAACAAUUCUAUUAAGCUGAUGCUUCAAAUUUUUGAAGUUAUUGGUCAAGCUACAAAGGGCUCACGGAGGAUACCUAGGCACACAGAGGCGA